UUGCCCUACGGGACGCAGCAGUGGGGAAUAUUGGGCAAUGGGCGCAAGCCUGACCCAGCAACGCCGCGUGAAGGAAGAAGGCUUUCGGGUUGUAAACUUCUUUUCUGAGGGACGAUAGUGACGGUACCUCAGGAAUAAGCCACGGCUAACUACGUGCCAGCAGCCGCGGUAAUACGUAGGUGGCGAGCGUUAUCCGGAUUUACUGGGUGUAAAGGGCGUGUAGGCGGAAUGGUAAGUCAGAUGUGAAAACUAUGGGCUCAACCCAUAGCCUGCAUUUGAAACUAUCGUUCUUGAGUGUUGGAGAG
Molecule: ribosomal RNA, 305 nt
Filed under: uncultured bacterium
Lineage: Bacteria
Description: bacterial SSU rRNA
Rfam family: Bacterial small subunit ribosomal RNA
Source: RNAcentral